RNAcentral lists this ribosomal RNA (370 nucleotides) under uncultured bacterium. Its description in RNAcentral is "bacterial SSU rRNA". It matches the Rfam family "Bacterial small subunit ribosomal RNA", at positions 29 to 429 of the family's 1533-position model. The record is from RNAcentral.
AACGAACGCUGGCGGCAGGCCUAAAACAUGCAAGUCGAACGCUCUAGCAAUAGAGAGUGGCGCACGGGUGAGUAACACGUGGGAAUGUGCCUUUUGGUACGGAACAACUUUUGGAAACGAAAGCUAAUACCGUAUGGUCCCUUCGGGGUAAAGAUUUAUCGCCAAAAGAGCAGCCCGCGUCUGAUUAGCUAGUUGGUGAGGUAAUGGCUCACCAAGGCGACGAUCAGUAGCGGUCUGAGAGGACGAUCAGCCACACUGGGACUGAGACACGGCCCAGACUCCUACGGGAGGCAGCAGUUAGGAAUAUUGGACAAUGGGGCAACCCUGAUCCAGCCAUGCCGCGUGAGUGAUGAAGGCCUUCGGUUGUAAA